UGGGCUUGCUACUGAAAAAUCCUUGUAUCUCAGUGGAAGUAGGCUUGCAUUUUGGCAACGAUGGAUCUAUUAUUGCUUGAAGGAAAACAAACCACCUGCCUCCACUUAUGCUUUUACUUAUAUUUCUGGACGGAGACAGAGCGAAGGGAACAAGAGCGUCAUUACGCAAGUUGCGAAGAAGCUACUC
Molecule: non-coding RNA, 187 nt
Organism: Theobroma cacao (cacao)
Lineage: Eukaryota; Viridiplantae; Streptophyta; Magnoliopsida; Malvales; Malvaceae
Source: RefSeq, a predicted model, not a curated record